Dama dama (fallow deer) is the source of this 2652-nucleotide RNA transcript. RefSeq lists it as uncharacterized. The transcript has 4 exons. The record is from RefSeq and is a predicted model, not a curated record. Lineage: Eukaryota; Metazoa; Chordata; Mammalia; Artiodactyla; Cervidae.
GGAGAAAAACGUGCUUAGUGACCUGGAAACUAACUAAACAUAUCGAACUCGAAGAGAUUCUGAUGACGACUCAAUUAACUUUACCCUUAAGACAUUUUGAAAAGGAAAGACUUUUGUCAGACCUGGGCUUCCAGAGUUUUAAUAGAAAACUGGGGACUUCCUGGAUAAGUCAAGCCAAAAAUUUUUUUCUGGGUUUGAAAGAUUAGGCAAUAGAUUCAGUUCUCUGCUUCAUGUCAUCAAGAUCACUUGACACUACUCUGUGCUAACAGAAGAGAUGUUGGGAUUUGAGAUUCAGGUAUCCAAACGUUGCCUUUGUUAAAGGCUAGAGGCUUGUCAUUUGAAACUAGCAAAUAAGUCCGGAUCCAUGCAAAAUAGACCCUAAUUAAAAAUCUGCCUUAAUUCUGUACUUAAGAAUCAACUUCUCUUAAAGGAUGCAUUUUUUUUCCUUAAUGCAAUGAGGAUGUUCACAGGUAGUCAGUUCCUUCUUUAGUGCUAGCAGGCUUCGGCAGGUUUAAACCCCACUCCACAAUCCUGAACCCUCCUUCAUUUCACUAAGAUUUGAUCUAAUGAGAAAUGAAACAUCCCAAAGUGUGUACUCACAUUCUGGAUAGCAUGAGAUAGCAGUCUUAGAAUAUGCUUGUGUGUGAUUCUCCAGGCAAGAAUACUGAAGUGGAAUACUGGAGUGGAUUGCCAUGCCCUCCUCUAAGGGAUCUUCCCGACCCAGGGAUCAUCAAACCUGCAUCUCUCUUGUCUCCUGCAUUGGCAGAGAAAAUGAAAGCAUGAAAUUGUCUUUUCCUGGAUGAGUCACUGUGGGAAAGUCCGUUCAGCAGUGUUCGUCCACUUGGUUGAGACACAGCAGUGGGAGGACCGUGGGUCUUGUUCAUUUUUCACAAUGCAGUUACGGAUCCUCGUACGUGCAGGUGAACCGUGUGGGGUCUUCAUGUGUGCUCAGGACUAAAACGGCGAAUCCUGGAGCUGGUUACCCGUCUGGGAAUUGGAGCUUCAUGGGUUUUUGCUUUACUGGGGCUGAAUAAAUCCCAAGUGCCCCCCUAUAAUAGUUGGACUUUGGAAAUGAGUGUAAAUUUGAGUGAUUCUGAUCCAGUCUCUUGGUGACCCCAAGGACUAUAGCCCGCUAGGCUCCUCUGUCCAUGGGAUGCUCCAGGCAGGACUACUGGAGUGGGUUGCCGUGCCCUCCUUCACGGCAUCUUCCCAAACUAGGGAUUGAACUCGCAUCUCUUAUGUCUUCUGCAUUGGCAGGCAGGUUCUUUACCAAUAGCGCCAUCUGGGAAACCCAAAGAAUGGGAGGGCUAUGGGCUAAACCUCACUCUCCCCAGAUUUUCUGGACUUUGGGAGAAGUUUGCCCCGCUUUGGGACCUCAGUGUCCUCAACUGGAAGUAAUGGGUCUGGAUUAAUUGAUGUCUGCUGUUCAUGGUCUGAGAGUUUGUGGUUUGGGAAAGCACUUCCUCAGCUUACUGGACUAAGAGGUGGGUUAGCAAGUCAAUACAGCAUCCUGCAUUUACCCUGCCAACCCCUUCUUUCUGCCUGGCUCUUUAUUGUUUUGUUUGUUGUAUCUGAAGAGGGAAGGGAUAAGAGGAUAACUGCUAUUUGAUUGGAGACAAAGAAGUUACAAAGGCUCAGCUCUCCCCUCCAGUUCCACUCCACACAAAGGGAUAGGGUUCUUUACGGUAAGGAGUGAUUGCUACCCAGACCAGAAACCAAAAAGUCCCCUUUGUGCAAGUCCAGUUCUGUGAUUUCAAAGGUGCUAGAUGAAGAAAGCAUAGUUUUCAAAGACCAAAGACUACAAAAAUUCUUUGUUGCAUAGACUAUAUCUUUGCCACGGCAGCUGUUGGCAGUUACGCUGGUUUGUAUAGAUAAAAUCUUAGAUAAAGUGCCUGUUCACACCUAGUCAUUUACAAAUGAGUCAAUAUUUGGCUUAAAAGACCAAAACUCAGACUCAUGAUGAUCAGAGUCCACUUCUGCAUUUUGUCAAUUUUCAUGUCUUAAAAAUGAUUGGAGGCCUCCUCUGAAGACUCCUGAAUUUGACAUACCUUUUACAGGAAGUCCUACACAGAAAGAAACCAGCAAGGGCAUGGACCAGUCAUGUGAGUGUGGAUACCUUCUCUCCUUUGGCUACAAAUGCUCCCUGAAUCCUAAUCCAAGAAGACCUGUGCAAAAGAGAAAAGAUCAAAGGAAGGAACAGGGUGUUCACUUGGCUUACAGAUAAACCCAGCCAUGCUGCGAUGGCCAGCUACACAGUGGGAUAAAUGGGAUCCCUUAGCUCUGUUCUUAAACUUUAUAAGGAGGUGGGGGUGCAGGCCUAUGACCAAGGAGGUCCUGGUAAGGGAUGUGGAACGAACAAGCUACCACCAACCGGAAGAGUUCAGGAAAGAUCAAAAGGAGAGUGGAAACACCAGCCUGCAUAUGCUCCCAACCUCCCAGAAUCCUCCUCGCUGGAAUCCAUCUUGGCUGAGUGAUGCAUGCGCUGCCAGGAAGGACCCUGAUGGGCCAGCCAGAAGCAAUUCAGAAACGAGCCCCAUCACCAUAAAACCUGAGACAGCAAAUCACGUGGCAGAGUGGUUCUCCUGGGUUCCCUUACCUUCCUGUUCUCCACCUAGCUGUCCUUCCCAAUAAAGUCUCCUGUUUUGUCCUCAA